GUGCCAGCAGCCGCGGUAAUACAGAGGGUGCAAGCGUUGUUCGGAAUCAUUGGGCGUAAAGCGCGUGUAGGCGGCCAUCUAAGUUUGGUGUGAAAGCCCGGGGCUUAACCCCGGAAGUGCACUGAAUACUGGAAGGCUAGAGGGUGAGAGGGGAGUUUGGAAUUCAUGGUGUAGGGGUGAAAUCCGUAGAUAUCAUGAGGAACAUCAGUGGCGAAGGCGAAACUCUGGCUCAUUUCUGACGCUGAGACGCGAAAGCGUGGGGAGCAAACAGGAUUAGAUACCCCAGUAGUCC
Molecule: ribosomal RNA, 292 nt
Filed under: uncultured bacterium
Lineage: Bacteria
Description: partial 16S ribosomal RNA
Rfam family: Bacterial small subunit ribosomal RNA
Source: RNAcentral